GGAGUUAGCCGGUGCUUCUUCUGUGAGUGAUGUCCUUCCUGCCGGCUAUUAACCCGCAGGCCUUCUUCCUCACUGAAAGUGCUUUACAACCCGAAGGCCUUCUUCACACACGCGGCAUGGCUGGAUCAGGGUUGCCCCCAUUGUCCAAUAUUCCCCACUGCUGCCUCCCGUAGGAGUCUGGGCCGUGUCUCAGUCCCAGUGUGGCUGAUCAUCCUCUCAGACCAGCUACGGAUCGUCGCCUUGGUGAGCCGUUACCUCACCAACCAGCUAAUCCGACAUAGGCUCAUCCGAUAGCGCGAGGCCCGAAGGUCCCCCGCUUUCCCCCGUAGGGCGUAUGCGGUAUUAGCCUGGGUUUCCCCAGGUUAUCCCCCACUACCGGGCAGAUUCCUAUGCAUUACUCACCCGUCCGCCGCUCGCCACCAGGGAGCAAGCUCCCCGUGCUGCCGCUCGACUUGCAUGUGUUAGGCCUGCCGCCACGCGUUCAUCUGAGCCGACGAUACAACUACUGA
This 509-nucleotide ribosomal RNA is filed under the name uncultured bacterium. Its description in RNAcentral is "partial 16S ribosomal RNA". The record is from RNAcentral.